CCUACGGGUGGCAGCAGUGGGGAAUAUUGCGCAAUGGGCGAAAGCCUGACGCAGCGACGCCGCGUGAGGGAUGAAGGUCUUCGGAUCGUAAACCUCGGUCAGCAGGGAAGAACGGUCACGGUGCUAAGCAGCAGUGAAUGGACGGUACCUGCAAAGGAAGCACCGGCUAACUCCGUGCCAGCAGCCGCGGUAAUACGGAGGGUGCGAGCGUUAAUCGGAAGUACUGGGCGUAAAGCGCUCGUAGGCGGUAUGUCAAGUCAAGGGUGAAAUCCCCGUGCUCAACGUUGGAACUGCCUUUGAAACUGGCAAACUGGAGUGUGUGUGAGGAUAGUGGCAUUCCAGGUGU
RNAcentral lists this ribosomal RNA (346 nucleotides) under uncultured bacterium. Its description in RNAcentral is "partial 16S ribosomal RNA". It matches the Rfam family "Bacterial small subunit ribosomal RNA", at positions 338 to 676 of the family's 1533-position model. The record is from RNAcentral.